GGUUAUUAUCAUGAAUAUUAUUAUAGAUAGAGAUAAACUGUAAACAGCAAAAAUGUUCAGCAAAGUAAGAUUUACAAAUAAGUCAACAUGACCGAAAUGGUCAGUUGACCCCUUUAGGAGUUAUGGCCCUUUAUAGUCAAUUUUUAACCAUUUUCCGUAAAUCUUAGUUAUCUUUUACAAAAAUCUUCUCCUCUGAAACUACUGGGCCAAAUUGAACCAAACUUGGCAACAAUCAUCAUUGGGGUAACUAGUUUGAAAAUUGUGUCCGGUGACCCGGCCAACCAACCAAGAUGGCCACCAUGGCUAAAAAUAGAACAUAGGGGUAAAAUCAGUUUUUGGCUUAUAACUCAAAAACCAAAGCAUUUAGAGCAAAUCUGACAGAGGUUAAAUGGUUUAUCAGGUCAAGAUCUAUCUGCCCUGAAAUUUUCAGAUGAAUCAGAC
This 441-nucleotide long non-coding RNA is filed under the name Mytilus galloprovincialis (Mediterranean mussel). The record is from RNAcentral. Lineage: Eukaryota; Metazoa; Mollusca; Bivalvia; Mytilida; Mytilidae.